CGGUUUUGCAUAACAACUUACAAACAUGUCUCAGAACAUACCUUUAUCACGACUGGGCUCCUCCGCCACAUCCCACCACACCCGGCCACAUCCUCAAAUGCACAGACUGGCCCUCUCAGUCUUGUCCAGUAGCUCUACAAAAAUGUGACAAGAAACAGACUGGCCCUACAGUACGUACCCAGUUCUAUACAACUUCCAGAUUGUCCUAGAACGCACAGCGAUUCCUCCUACACAGUGUUAACUCGCAACGCAGAGACUCAUACAGAGCUAAUAACUACCCAACCACCAGCUAUGCCCCCAAACACACAGAACAUGCUCCACAACACGUCUGUGAGCCUCACAACGCCUAGCCUGUCCUUAAUACCCACCUCAGCCUACGAUGUCACACAUGCUCCAUGGCAGGCCUCCCACCCUAGCCCGUGCAGCGGUAUCGCAACGCAGAGAUGUGCCUCGCAUGUAAACGUUCUCCCCAGAAUGCCAACGCUUGCUCUGUAAGGCAUCCAGUAUGACUGUAACACCUAGAUUUGCCUCCAGACUCAGUCUUGCACCACAAUACUCCCCCAGUGCCUCACAAUACCUACCACGAAUGUAGAGUGAACGGACCUGCCCCACAAUGUCCAGACUUAGAAAACCAAGACAUGCCCUAUCGGCCACAGGUUCCACAAAGCAAAAAUCUCCCUAUAUUGCACAGCCCAACUCUACAUCAUAAACUCACCCCCACGCCCCACGGUAGGAACAGACCUCAAAUAUUCAGUCACAAAUUCAGUCUUGCCACACAACACUGACAGGUGUCUUACGACUCACACACGAGUUCCACGAUACCUAGACACAGCUAACUUACAAUGGACAGGUAUACGCUGUGACACAAAGGUUUCUCCCCGAAACACCAGAUUGCAUUCUGAUGCACAGAAUCCCCCCCAAACACACACAUUCACUCCACCAGGCAAACACCCCAGAAAGAAACCGUGUGUCCCCAGCCCCCAGAAUUGCCCCAGGACACACAGACGUGCCCCACAGGAGGAAGACCUACUCCAGAUUGCACAUUCUCCUCACCAGACGUGCUUUGCGACACAACCUUGCCCCGCAAGGCACCCUUGACCCACAACCUAGGCACAGUAUAUAGUGCCCUUAUUCACCCCUGCAACACCUUGACAGAGCCUCCAUGCAAAGAUGUGUCCUGCAGUGUACAAAACACCAGAAAAUGCACAGACCCCCCCCCCCGCGCCCCCGGUACCAGAAGGGCCACCUCAGGCUCCAACUUCCUCCCCAAAGCAAAGUCACUUGGAAAUAGCUCCAGCCAAAUCACACCUUGCAAACGCAUCGCAUCUCACGUUCUCCGCACCGUGCACAGACGUGCUCCGCAGCACUCAGACUCACCUACACGCCCCACGACAUCCCACAAAUCGGUACCUGACCCACAAUAUGACGGACAGGCCUCGUGAUGUACACUUGCCCCCCACCACUGAGAGACACCGCGCCUUGUGAUGCACAGACCUGCCUUGCCACGCAAACCCCACGGGACACAUCCUCACCCAGCAUAAGCAUCCCCAGCUCAAGACAUGUUCACGCGCUGCCAUGCCCCGCAGCACAGAAUUACAUCGCACAGCAGGAUGCCUGUAGGCAAACACCCCAGAAAGAAAACGUGUGUCCCCAGCCCCCAGAAUUGCCCCAGAACACAUAGGGAAAUCCCACAGCACAAACGCAAGCUCCCUCAAACGCAGCCUCCGCCCCAUUCUCUUUGAAAUGCCAGAAUACAGCCAACGCCACAUCCAGAAUCAGCCUGUAUCACACGGGCAAUGCGCAGCAUGGACCACAACCUCCAGAAAUACCAUACUAUGUCAAGGCAGAACCCCACCUGAGGGGGCUCCCCUCGUUAACAAACACACAUAGAUUCCCCAUGAGGCACAGAUGUACCCGACAAUGCAAGGACUGGCCCUGUGACACAACAAUUUACGGUCGAAUCUCUAGACUCAACCCAGGACACAUAGUCUCACCCUGUGACUCCAAGAUCUGUCCCAGGGUGUUUGGACUGCAGUUUAGAGAGCACGACACCUGGACGGGCCAGCCCUACAAGGUGAAGACAUGGUCCCCAGUCCGUAGAUUUGCAUGACAGGACAUCUGAAAAAUCACACUCAUAAAAGUCUCAACACUCAGAAGCACUCCCACAAAGCACAGUCCCUCCAAACCAGAUGCUCAGGCCUCGCCGGGCCCGUAAUUCCUAGAGACCACCUGUCAUCCACAAGCUCACCUCACACCCCAUAGCCAGGCCCCCUUACCAUAGAGAAUACCCAGACUUGCUACACAACACCCAGACUUGCUACACAACACUCAGAAGGGCUCACGACAUCAAGAGAGUAUGCGUAUUCUAGAACAUUCAGGUUCACUUCAUGAGAACCCACGCGCUCACGCAGAACGUUCACUUCUUUGCGCCUGUACACUCAUGUGCAAACAUGGAUGAAACAGUUCCUUUUAGGGCCUUGCAAGGAUCAAAUGAGAUAAUUUCAGGAAAGAAUCGAGGUUCAGAACACAGUCUUUGGAGGCAGCUGUAUCCGCUCCCAGUCCCGGCUCCACGACUGGAACCUGAGCAUGUUUGAGAGUAGAAACGGUCAGUGGGAGAGAAGCAGGAAUAAAGGUUUGGGGUCAGUGGGGCCUGGUUCUGAAUUCUGCCUCUGCCACGUAUCGGCCACAUGAUGUUCACAACGCGCUUGAAUUCUCUGACCCCCAGUGUCCUCAUCUGUCAAGUGUGGAUGACACUGGUGCCCGUCUCCGAGGCUACUUGUAAGGAUUAAACACCACCAGCAGGGAGAAAAGCUUGAGCCCCUUCUACUGGCUGUACCAUAGACAAGCAGGCGGAGAAAUGAGCAGAUAAGUCUUUCUGGAAGAAAGUGCUCACAUCGACACACACACACACACACACACACACACACACACGCACUCAUACUGCCACAGGUGUUUACACUGACACAGAACUACGGGUGUAUCAGAAUCCCACAGACCAUACGUUCUUUCAGCCACAGCCGAAGACAUAUGUUUGCGCAAGUAUGAACAUAUAACCAGAGUUCCAGCAAGGACCACCUCAUGUUUAUGCAGAUACACGUAUACAUACACACAGAUGCAUACAAACACCCACAGUUUGGUGUGUAGGCACAAAGCAACAUGCAGUCACAGAUGCACACUCCACACUCGCACAGGCCCAGAGAAGCACGCAGAGACACAUGCAUGCCAACCUAGGCGUCCAGAGGAUGUGUUUACUGAUUCAUAACCUCAAAGAUGCAAGAACACAAAUGCAUGCACACACACACACACACACACACACACAUGGAAAGACGCAUAAAUGCUUCUAGAGGCUCAUGAGGUGUGGACUCAUCCUCAGACACCCCCAGACAUUUAUGGAGAAAUGUAGACAAGUACAUAUGAGCCCACACAGACACAUAGGCAUUUGCAUGUGUGCACACAGAGCCACAGGCAGGUGCAUGGAGUCAUCCGUAUGCAGACACAGGUGUAUGCAUGUUCAUUGCUAUGCAGAGACAUAGAGACAUUUAUAAAAAACUGAAAUAUGGAGAUGUAUUCAUAAGGAGACACGUGUGUUUUAAACACGUAUCUGGCAUCUUUAUGCUCAUAGAGUCACAUGAAUUUACACACAGAGGCAAGUUGUUAUUAAAACACACCUGCAUACACAUGGUCCUGCCUGGACCUGCAACCUGGGUGCUCAUGCUGACCAUGAAAACCUAGAAACAUGCCCACAUGCACAUGUAUAGAAAUGUACCUGGGGAAGCACGUGGGGAUAUUCGUGCAUAUGGGUGUGCGUAUGGAACCACACAAGCAUGCCGUGUGCACACAUAGAUGCACUCGUACAUGGAGACAUACACAUGCACGCAGACAAAACAGAGAUGGACCCAUGAAGACAUCUCUGCAUGAAUAUGAGCAGACACAUUUAGAGAGAGACGUUUAUAUACAGAGAGAGAUGCCUCCCGUGUAGAUACAGGGGAGAGGAGAGGGAGCGGGGAGACGGAGGUUGGUCGGCUUGGCAGAGACACUUUCUUAUGCAGAAGCUCACACCUACACACAGAGACACACAGGCCUAGAGACCCAUACGAAGAUGUGCACAGGCGAACACAGCUGCACUCACACACUCACUCAGAUGCACGAGAGGAGCAAAGUCACACACACACAUGCAGAAACUCAGGUAUAUUCACGGAGACCCAGGCAAGUGCACAGAGACAGAGAUGUACGUGGAUCCUCACCCAUACGGACUCACAAAGAUACAGACUCAGAAGCUUGUGCAGGUGCCUGCGGGGACAGGUACACAGGAGGAGGAUGAAGAUGGAGAGUCAGUAGGAACGGGGAAGAGGGCUUCUUGCCAUGGAACAUUUGCCACCUAGUGACCAUUCUGAGUGGUGAUACUUGUUCUCGUCUUCUCAGCCUGGCAGCCUGCCCUUGACUCCUGAGUUCUGUGAGCCCUUCAAAACUGCAAGUCAUUCUCAAAAGAAAUUUGGGUUUACCUAGUGUGCACCUUUGAGAGUUUGGGAACAGUAUGCAAAUUCAAGUUACCCUCAUGUUUUCUCGCUAUCUGGUUUCUCUGCCUAUCGUUCCCUCUGCGCAUGUGUAGUCAUACAAAACAAUUUUUGGCCUUGUUAUUUGUCCUGUGAAUGUUGGCAUUUGCUUCUUAUACAGUAGAAAUUAGCGUUGUAUAUUUGUCAGUGAUAUAAAACUUUCAAUAACUGUAAGUCUAUAUAAGUUGGGUAAGAAUAUCAUCCAAGCAAAGAAAAGAACCAAGAAGGUAGAUGAUAGAAAUGCAAGAGAAGAGGAGAGGACAAGAAAGGUGGUGUCUCUAGCAAACAGAAUGAGGGGUCCUGAAAUGCUUCCUAAUGGGGAAACCAAGACCUCUGCGGGGCAUUUAUUUUGGUAUUAAUGAGUCAGUCAAGAAAAAUAAGAAAGCUAUUAGGGUCAGUGUGCCAAGGGGCACACUAGAAUCAUUAAGAAAAAUCAUACAUAACUCCAAAUGCCAAAAUAGAGAAAAUGAAAAGAGAUUUGUGUUUGUGGCUUCUAAAACAGAGAAGGCUGAAUGGGCCUCUUUGCCUCAUCUGCCAGCGAGCCUAGCAAAAAAUGCAAAUUUAAAUUUUGAUCGGGAUGGAAAAUUGUAACAUUCAUCGUGAGUAACGCGUGGUUGGACAGGUUUAAGAAACACCAGGGUGUGUAUGAAAAGAAGUGGCUGGCAGAGGAAGCCGACCGUGAAGCUGCCGCGGACUGUCCUGGAUACCCGAAGAAACUGAUGGAGAAAAAUCGCUAUUUGCCUGAAGAGGUCUUCAGUGCUGAUGAAACAGUCCUGUUCUAGAAGCGCAUGGCUACUUGCACAUUUAUUGCGAAGGAUGAGAAAAAGACCUGAGGCUUCGAGCCUGGAAAAGAUAAGCUCAAAGUUCUGCUUUGUUCCAGUGCUUCUGGUGACUUUCUGAUUAAACCGCUGUUGCUUCACAGAUUCCACAUUUCUUGCCCUCUUAAAAGAAAUUGCCAGAAACACUUUUCUGUGUACAUGAAGGGAAACCAUAAAAUAUGGAUCACUGAGAAAUUCCUGUUGGACUGGCUUUUGAAGUGUUUUGUUCCUGAGGUUAAACAGUAUUUAAACCCAAAACAUCUUGAAUUCGAGGUGUAACUGAUUCUGGACACGGCUCCCACUGACAAAAGCAUGAUCCUUGUAUUAAAGGCAGCUGUAUUCCCCCCAGUACAUCUCCACUCUUUCCACCCUUGCACCUGGGAGUGUAUUUGAUUGACUACCUGGCAAAUCUUACGAGAGAGACACCAGAAAUUACCGUGGAAAUAGCUUGGUAAAAUUUCUCCAUUUGUAACACUUUGAUACUAGUAGGAGAAUCAGUGAGAGAGAGAAAAUGAUCAACCCUUAACGGAGACUGGCAGCAACUUUGGAAUGAAGUUGUAAGUGAUUCUGAAGCUUUCCUUCCAGUGCCUGAAGAAAUUGAAAUUUUGGUAGCAUCUGCAGAACAUACGGGUGGUGACGGAUUCGAAGACAGUGAAUUAAGUGACGUUGCUGAACUGUUAGAUUCUCACCCUCAGAAGAUGGUUGAGAAAUAUUUCAGAGAUGGGAUCCCAUCAAAAGUUGAUGAAAGAUGUCAGCGUAGAUUACCUUCUAGAACUCAAAGAAUGUGGAAGCACCCACUCCGCAAAUCAAAUUGUCAUGGUGAUUCACAGGAAAGAGAUCCUUCGCUGGAAUAUUUAUUGACCUACAGGGAGAAGAGGCUGUACUACCGGGCUGUGUCACUCAAGCCCUUGCCCAAAAAAGCAGGCACAAGGGCCUCACACUGAUGCUUGAACCUGGGGAUUCAGACUCUGGCAGCUCUGAUGAUGAGUGAUGAUCCGUGUGCCGAAGAAUGAGAGUGAAGCAGGACACUGAGUUUACUCAGAUCCAGACAAAACCCUGUCACUGCUGUGAUGAUCAGCAUUUUCACUGAUGCAUGAUGUUUCUCACUUUGAGAUCAGAGAGAAAUAGAAAUUAAUUGCCCUGUCAUCACUAUGACUAAUGUAAAAUUAGUAAAAUGCCACC
Molecule: long non-coding RNA, 6553 nt
Filed under: Sus scrofa (pig)
Lineage: Eukaryota; Metazoa; Chordata; Mammalia; Artiodactyla; Suidae
Description: lncRNA (ENSSSCG00065055344.1)
Source: RNAcentral